Molecule: non-coding RNA, 223 nt
Organism: Paramuricea clavata
Lineage: Eukaryota; Metazoa; Cnidaria; Anthozoa; Malacalcyonacea; Plexauridae
Source: the annotation of a GenBank genome assembly
UUCCCAGUCGCUCGAUAUGUUUUUAUCUGAUAGUGUAGACUUCUCUUGUUUGAUUGCGAAGAGUGUUGGCCAGUAUAACGCUCAAAACGAAAUAUUUUUAGCUAACAUAACACGCACGCAAUAUAAUUCUCUCUUGUAGUUUUGGUGCUACCCAGCCAAUGACGUCACAAAGUUCAUUGACCUUCGAGAUAAUUUUUCAAAAAUAUUUUCCAAGAUGGCGGCG